ACUAUUCACCAAGGCGGUCUCAGCUAGUUUUUUACCGGUUUACUUGUGUGGCUAUUUUUCACAGAAAGAUGAUCAACUGGGGGAAUGUUUGAGAUGCUAAAAUUCUAAUCAAAUUGAAAGAUUUGCCUCAUAAACAUGGCAUUUGUGACUGUUCAUCCUUGAGGACAAGGAUGUUUGAAGGGGAGGGUAUUGUAACAGGAAAUAAUAUUAGAUUAAUAGUUUAUUUUAAAUAAUAGUUUAUUUUAUGUUAUUUUACAUUUUUAUCCUUUAGGGUUGUAUUUAAAGACAUUGUGUCUCACUUGGAAAAGGAAUCAAUCAAUCAAUAUUCAACAAAUUAUCUUCUUCUCUAAACACAACUCUCAAUUUAUCUUUGCAUAAUCUCACUUGUACCGAAUUCUAUUCAAUUCAUUAGAAUUCCUACUUUGAGACUUGAUUCUAUCGGUUUCGUCCCUAGAAUCUAAUUUACCCGUUACAGAGGAGGAGAGUGGGUUUGACGGAGGAGGAUUCGCCGGUGGGAGUGGGUUUGACGGAGGGGGAUUUGCGAUGAAAGUGUGAUUUUGUGAUUUGGUUUCUCGCUUUUGAUUAGCGGUAAUUGGAAAAUUCUAAUAUAGAGGCAAUUCAAUUUUUUUGACUGGAAUGGGGGUGUGUAUAUAGAUCGGGUUGAAUUGGUUUUUGGCCAAAACAAAAAUUUGAACCACAUAAGUUUGGUUGAUAGUUUAUAUUGUACUAUUUUCUCUAAAUAUUUAGUUGAUUAUUAAUAUUUUUGUGUCAAUAAUGUUU
This 780-nucleotide long non-coding RNA is filed under the name Trifolium pratense (red clover). RNAcentral describes it as "long non-coding RNA (TPRA_LNC008292)". The record is from RNAcentral. Lineage: Eukaryota; Viridiplantae; Streptophyta; Magnoliopsida; Fabales; Fabaceae.